RNAcentral lists this small RNA (146 nucleotides) under Pseudomonas sp. SJZ079. RNAcentral's name for it is "PrrF RNA". It matches the Rfam family "PrrF RNA". Rfam says of the family: PrrF RNA is a small RNA involved in iron homeostasis and is found exclusively in Pseudomonas species. Their expression is induced under iron limitation by the ferric uptake regulator (Fur) and they act to negatively regulate several genes including sodB and sdh. Lineage: Bacteria; Pseudomonadati; Pseudomonadota; Gammaproteobacteria; Pseudomonadales; Pseudomonadaceae. The record is from RNAcentral.
UUGACUUGCAAAUGAUAAUUGUUAUUAUUAUCGCAGCUGAUCGCGAGAUCAGCCGAUAAGCUCAAGAGACUUACAGGACUCUUAAGGUUAUCUCCUCAUCAGGCUAAUCACGGUUAUUGACCCGGCUCUUGCCGGGUCUUUUUUUU